GUGAGGAAUAUUGCGCAAUGGAGGCAACUCUGACGCAGCCAUGCCGCGUGCAGGAAGAAGGCGCUACGCGUUGUAAACUGCUUUUAACCGGGAAGAAACCCCAGGACGUGUCCUGGGUUGACGGUACCGGAGGAAUAAGCACCGGCUAACUUCGUGCCAGCAGCCGCGGUAAUACGAAGGGUGCAAGCGUUAUCCGGAUUCUUUGGGUUUAAAGGGUGCGUAGGCGGAGCGUUAAGUCAGUGGUGAAAUCCUGCAGCUUAACUGUAGACUUGCCAUUGAUACUGGCGCUCUUGAGUGCGCUUGAAGUGGGCGGAAUGUGCCGUGUAGCGGUGAAAUGCUUAGAUAUGGCACAGAACACCAAUUGCGAAGGCAUCUCACUAAGGCGAUACUGACGCUGAGGCACGAAAGCGUGGGGAUCGAACAGGAUUAGAUACCCGGGUAGUCC
This 445-nucleotide ribosomal RNA is filed under the name uncultured bacterium. RNAcentral's name for it is "partial 16S ribosomal RNA". It matches the Rfam family "Bacterial small subunit ribosomal RNA", at positions 354 to 796 of the family's 1533-position model. The record is from RNAcentral.